Molecule: ribosomal RNA, 494 nt
Filed under: uncultured bacterium
Lineage: Bacteria
Description: partial 16S ribosomal RNA
Rfam family: Bacterial small subunit ribosomal RNA
Source: RNAcentral
GACGAACGCUGGCGGCGUGCCUAAUACAUGCAAGUAGAACGCUGAAGGAGGAGCUUGCUCUUCUGGAUGAGUUGCGAACGGGUGAGUAACGCGUAGGUAACCUGCCUGGUAGCGGGGGAUAACUAUUGGAAACGAUAGCUAAUACCGCAUAAGAGUAGAUGUUGCAUGACAUUUGCUUAAAAGGUGCAAUUGCAUCACUACCAGAUGGACCUGCGUUGUAUUAGCUAGUUGGUGGGGUAACGGCUCACCAAGGCGACGAUACAUAGCCGACCUGAGAGGGUGAUCGGCCACACUGGGACUGAGACACGGCCCAGACUCCUACGGGAGGCAGCAGUAGGGAAUCUUCGGCAAUGGACGGAAGUCUGACCGAGCAACGCCGCGUGAGUGAAGAAGGUUUUCGGAUCGUAAAGCUCUGUUGUAAGAGAAGAACGAGUGUGAGAGUGGAAAGUUCACACUGUGACGGGAUCUUACCAGAAAGGGACGGCUAACUACGU